RNAcentral lists this ribosomal RNA (433 nucleotides) under uncultured bacterium. RNAcentral's name for it is "bacterial SSU rRNA". It matches the Rfam family "Bacterial small subunit ribosomal RNA", at positions 29 to 507 of the family's 1533-position model. The record is from RNAcentral.
AACGAACGCUGGCGGCAGGCCUAACACAUGCAAGUCGAACGCUUCAGCAAUGAAGAGUGGCAGACGGGUGAGUAACGCGUGGGAACCUUCCCAGUGGUACGGAAUAGCCCAGGGAAACUUGGGGUAAUACCGUAUAAGCCCUUAGGGGGAAAGAUUUAUCGCCAUUGGAUGGGCCCGCGUCGGAUUAGCUUGUUGGUGAGGUAAGAGCUCACCAAGGCGACGAUCCGUAGCUGGUCUGAGAGGAUGAUCAGCCACACUGGGACUGAGACACGGCCCAGACUCCUACGGGAGGCAGCAGUGGGGAAUAUUGGACAAUGGGCGCAAGCCUGAUCCAGCCAUGCCGCGUGAGUGACGAAGGCCUUAGGGUUGUAAAGCUCUUUUGGCGGGGACGAUAAUGACGGUACCCGCAGAAUAAGCUCCGGCUAACUUCGUG